AUUCUAAAUACAACUUUCAACAACGGAUCUCUUGGCUCUCGCAUCGAUGAAGAACGCAGCGAAAUGCGAUACGUAAUGUGAAUUGCAGAAUUCAGUGAAUCAUCGAAUCUUUGAACGCACAUUGCACUCUCUGGUAUUCCGGAGAGUAUGCUUGUUUGAGUAUCUGU
This 167-nucleotide ribosomal RNA is filed under the name fungal endophyte. RNAcentral's name for it is "5.8S ribosomal RNA". It matches the Rfam family "5.8S ribosomal RNA". Rfam says of the family: 5.8S ribosomal RNA (5.8S rRNA) is a component of the large subunit of the eukaryotic ribosome. The record is from RNAcentral. Lineage: Eukaryota; Fungi.